RNAcentral lists this ribosomal RNA (503 nucleotides) under uncultured bacterium. RNAcentral describes it as "partial 16S ribosomal RNA". It matches the Rfam family "Bacterial small subunit ribosomal RNA", at positions 30 to 523 of the family's 1533-position model. The record is from RNAcentral.
AUUGAACGCUGGCGGCAGGCUUAACACAUGCAAGUCGAGCGGGGUGAUGGUGCUUGCACUAUCACUUAGCGGCGGACGGGUGAGUAAUGCUUAGGAAUCUGCCUAUUAGUGGGGGCCAACAUCUCGAAAGGGAUGCUAAUACCGCAUACGUCCUACGGGAGAAAGCAGGGGAUCGCUCGUGACCUUGCGCUAAUAGAUGAGCCUAAGUCGGAUUAGCUAGUUGGUGGGGUAAAGGCCUACCAAGGCGACGAUCUGUAGCGGGUCUGAGAGGAUGAUCCGCCACACUGGGACUGAGACACGGCCCAGACUCCUACGGGAGGCAGCAGUGGGGAAUAUUGGACAAUGGGGGGAACCCUGAUCCAGCCAUGCCGCGUGUGUGAAGAAGGCCUUAUGGUUGUAAAGCACUUUAAGCGAGGAGGAGGCUCUUUUGGUUAAUACCCAAGAUGAGUGGACGUUACUCGCAGAAUAAGCACCGGCUAACUCUGUGCCAGCAGCCGCCGCCG